GAUGAACGCUAGCGGCAGGCCUAACACAUGCAAGUCGAGGGGCAGCACAGGUAGCAAUACUGGGUGGCGACCGGCGGAUGGGUGCGUAACGCGUAUGCAACCUACCAUUGAUUGGGGCAUAGCCCGAAGAAAUUCGGAUUAAUACUCCAUAAUAUUCAUCAAAGGCAUCUUUUAUGAAUUAAAGCUUUUGCGAUCAAUGAUGGGCAUGCGUGACAUUAGUUAGUUGGUGAGGUAACGGCUCACCAAAACGAUGAUGUCUAGGGGUUCUGAGAGGAUUAUCCCCCACACUGGUACUGAGACACGGACCAGACUCCUACGGGAGGCAGCAGUGAGGAAUAUUGGUCAAUGGACGCAAGUCUGAACCAGCCAUGCCGCGUGCAGGAUGACGGCCCUAUGGGUUGUAAACUGCUUUUCCACGGGAAGAACCCUCCGACGUGUCGGAGACUGACGGUACCGUGGGAAUAAGCAUCGCUAACUCCGUCG
Molecule: ribosomal RNA, 483 nt
Filed under: uncultured bacterium
Lineage: Bacteria
Description: bacterial SSU rRNA
Rfam family: Bacterial small subunit ribosomal RNA
Source: RNAcentral